UUUUUUUUUUGUAUGUGGAAUUGAAACCAGGGCCACUUAACCACUGAGCCACAUCCCCAGCCCUUUUUUCCUUUUUUAAAUUUUAUUUAGAGACAGGAUCAAGCUGAGUUGCUUAGGGCCUGGCUAAGUUGCUGAGGCUGGCUUUGAACUCACAAUCCUCCUGUCUCAGCCUUCUGAGCAGCUGGGAUUACAAACGUCGCCACUGUGACUGGCCUUUAAGACCUUCUACUAGUUAAGGAAACUGAGGCACAGGGAGUGAGGUAACUUGCCUGAGGUCACUGGUAUGUGUUGAGAGCCACAGCCAAAGGGGCCCCAGCAAACUUCCAGCUGCUGGAAGGUAUGGACACAGUUGGAUGACUGGGAUCCAGUAAAAACAUUUGGAGCAGAAACUGAGACUGAGGGCCCUCCACGAGCCAGGAACCAAGAGGCACAGGGAGGGAGAGAGGACCAAGUGGGCCACUCCUGAGGAGCAGGAUGAGUGGGCACUUCAGCAGGCUCACACAUGCGUGCACACGCACAUGCGCUCACACAUGCGUGCACACGCACAUGCACUCACACACUGUCCAGGAGGAGAGGAGAAACCAAACAGAGAUGUCUAGAUGUGUGAGUGAGACUGAGGGACAGAACUACUUCUUCUUUCUUGAUCUUCUUUUUCUUCUGACACUGGGGAUUCAACCCAAGGGUGCUUAACCACUGAGCCACAUCCCCAGGCCUAUAUAAAAAUAUCGUAUUUAGAGACAGGGUCUCGCUAAGUUGCUUAAGGCCUUGCUAAGUUGCUCAAGCUGGCUUUGAAUUUGUGACCCUCCUGCCUCAGCCUCCCGAGUUGCUGGGAAUGCAGGUGUGCGCCACCACGCCCGGCUCAGCACUUCUGCCUUUGACUCUUCUGUCAGUGGAAUCUGGCCACGAGGAGGGCUAGACAUGGCCAGAUUGUAGGGCCUGGGAUGCCACACGAUAGCCGUGUGAUGGCACUCUUGGGAAGUGUUCUUUCCCAGCCACGCCUUUGAAAUGUGUCUGCUUGCUCCUGGUGCUGUCAUACCCUCCCCUGUGUUUCCACCUCGGAGCUCUGGUUAGGCCUAGAUGCUGUCCUCCCUGAACUGCUAUUGAUCCAGUGGGGGAACGUGAGCUCCGGCUCCCAAGCCUCUGGAGGUCAGCCUGCUGGUCACCUUGCUGGUGGCUUUGUACGAGCUGUUACAUUGGGGAGCACUGGGAGGGAGAGGCCUGGGUUGCUGGCCUGCAGCGGGUCUUAAUGCUGGUCCUUCUCCAGUCCCCACUUCCCCAGCUCCCUCCUGCUGAGUAGCCCGGGAGCCCUGGCCGGUCCCCCACAGCCCCACCCUGGGCCCUCACUGUCUGAUGUCAGUGUUCUCUGCCAGGCAGAUGGAACUGAACUGUGCCUAUUGUCUGUUCUUGAGUCUGUCACCAGGCUCUCUGUCCCCUGUCUUGGAGACUAAGCCAGGCAGAGGAAGAAGAGGUGUCCACAGAUCCCUUGGAGAACCUCGGGCCUCAACCACAGUUGCUUUUUCCUAUUUGAAUCUGACAGUUAGGGUUCCCAGCACCUCAUGCCAAUAAAGGAGGCGAGAGAAGUGUGAUAGGAGUCUGCGGCCCCUUCUGUCCCUGGGGAGGGGAAAAAGAAGGCUUGAAGCCAUCCUGUGGUGGGUCCCCAGAGUGGCUGUGGACCCAAGCAGCCCACAGUGCUCACCAUCUGACAGCGGAGGGCAGUGUGGUCAGGACCCGGACUACAUCGCCUCACUGUGGAUGGAGAACAGAGACCACAGAGACAUUUAGUCUGGGAAACGUCUUCUUCGGGGAAAGCGUUGUGAGGAGGCCCUGCCUGCUGCGUUGGGGUGGGCUGUGGAGCAGGCAUGAGGACAGAGCUGGCUCUCUGCAGGGAACGGUCAGUGCUGUGGCCCGAGUUUGGCUCUGCCUGUGAGUGACCCUGACCAAGUUACCUCAAUCUUCACCAGAGCAGAGGGU
RNAcentral lists this long non-coding RNA (1971 nucleotides) under Marmota monax (woodchuck). Lineage: Eukaryota; Metazoa; Chordata; Mammalia; Rodentia; Sciuridae. The record is from RNAcentral.